RNAcentral lists this ribosomal RNA (674 nucleotides) under Bacillus subtilis. RNAcentral describes it as "bacterial SSU rRNA". It matches the Rfam family "Bacterial small subunit ribosomal RNA", at positions 669 to 1341 of the family's 1533-position model. The record is from RNAcentral. Lineage: Bacteria; Bacillati; Bacillota; Bacilli; Caryophanales; Bacillaceae.
CCACGUUGUAGCGGUGAAAUUGCGUAGAGAUGUGGAGGAACACCAGUGGCGAAGGCGACUCUCUGGUCUGUAACUGACGCUGAGGAGCGAAAGCGUGGGGAGCGAACAGGAUUAGAUACCCUGGUAGUCCACGCCGUAAACGAUGAGUGCUAAGUGUUAGGGGGUUUCCGCCCCUUAGUGCUGCAGCUAACGCAUUAAGCACUCCGCCUGGGGAGUACGGUCGCAAGACUGAAACUCAAAGGAAUUGACGGGGGCCCGCACAAGCGGUGGAGCAUGUGGUUUAAUUCGAAGCAACGCGAAGAACCUUACCAGGUCUUGACAUCCUCUGACAAUCCUAGAGAUAGGACGUCCCCUUCGGGGGCAGAGUGACAGGUGGUGCAUGGUUGUCGUCAGCUCGUGUCGUGAGAUGUUGGGUUAAGUCCCGCAACGAGCGCAACCCUUGAUCUUAGUUGCCAGCAUUCAGUUGGGCACUCUAAGGUGACUGCCGGUGACAAACCGGAGGAAGGUGGGGAUGACGUCAAAUCAUCAUGCCCCUUAUGACCUGGGCUACACACGUGCUACAAUGGACAGAACAAAGGGCAGCGAAACCGCGAGGUUAAGCCAAUCCCACAAAUCUGUUCUCAGUUCGGAUCGCAGUCUGCAACUCGACUGCGUGAAGCUGGAAUCGCUAGUAA